This 567-nucleotide unclassified non-coding RNA is filed under the name Zea mays. RNAcentral's name for it is "misc RNA Zm00001eb308170". Lineage: Eukaryota; Viridiplantae; Streptophyta; Magnoliopsida; Poales; Poaceae. The record is from RNAcentral.
CUGCUCCUCCCCAGCGUCCCUCGCCGAGCACCCUCUGCCCCAGCUCCUCACCAUUUCGUGCCCUGGGAGUCGUCCGGUCCUGUGUGUUUCGGUGGAUGGGCGUCGACUCCCCUGCGUCGGCUUCGAGCUCCCUCCCUCAACGCCAUCCUCCCAGCAGCGAGUCUCUCUCUUCCUCGAGGUCUCUUCCAUGGCUGCGGCUCCCUCUCUCUUUCUGGCCUCCACUACCGCGUCACUGGAUCGGUCCUGCUCGCCCCCAUGGCGCCUGGGCGGAUCUCCCUCCUCCCUGAAGCUUUUCCCCAUGGCGCCCAGUCUUGGUUGCUCCCUAUGCUGUGGAGUCUCCUGCGCGCCCAACCAUUUCUUUCUUCUCCCUCAGCUCGCUCCCUGUUCGCCGCGCGCUCUGGAGUCCUCUCUGCACCGCGCCGUGAAGCUCCCAUGGCGCCUUGCUUCUCUCCCUACUGGCACGCCGUGAAGCCCCUGCUUUCUUUCCAGCAGCGCCUGCUUUCCUUGCCGCGUGUUGCCUCAGCUCCCUCGUCGAGGAUCCUGCUCGCAAGCGUGCUCCUUCCCUGA